Molecule: non-coding RNA, 538 nt
Organism: Chiloscyllium plagiosum (whitespotted bambooshark)
Lineage: Eukaryota; Metazoa; Chordata; Chondrichthyes; Orectolobiformes; Hemiscylliidae
Source: RefSeq, a predicted model, not a curated record
CAAAGUGUGAACAGCUGACUGAAUUUAUUAGGAGACCCAAAGUUGGGUGAAACCAGUGGAGCCUGUUAGAUCAUUAAUCAGAGGGAGUAAUCACUGGGCUACUGCAAAAAUGGCACCUGUGGGACACCAAUCACAAAGAUACUGCAAGACUUCAUGGGCUGCAAAGGGGCAUGGAGUUGAUUUCGCUUUCGUCUUUACAUGUACAGAAGGGGUUAUCAUCUCUGUCGCUACGAUGCGAGGAGGCACAGAAAUGGAAGGAGAACAAGCAACCAAUAAACCCAAAACCAGCAGCAUUAUCCAGCAGAUGUUAAACAUGAUCUUAAAGAGUUUGCAGCUGAGGAUCCCUCAGGAUGUGCAGGCAGGCCAGAUUCAUUUAUCCUCAACUCUAUUUCCUUGUACAAGGAACAAAUGCCUUGGGUUUGUUUGCUGCAUACAGCCAAACUCCGGUGUUUGUUUUGUCUUCAUUUGCUGCUGUACAGAAUUGAACUGCUUUAGAGACUAUGUAUGUGUAUAAAGAUAUUUUUUAUGAAUAAAAUAU